GUAGGUGGCAAGCGUUGUCCGGAAUUAUUGGGCGUAAAGCGCGCGCAGGCGGUUCUUUAAGUCUGAUGUGAAAGCCCACGGCUCAACCGUGGAGGGUCAUUGGAAACUGGAGAACUUGAGUACAGAAGAGGAAAGCGGAAUUCCACGUGUAGCGGUGAAAUGCGUAGAGAUGUGGAGGAACACCAGUGGCGAAGGCGGCUUUCUGGUCUGUAACUGACGCUGAGGCGCGAAAGCGUGGGGAGCAAACAGGAUUAGAUACCCUGGUAGUCCACGCCGUAAACGAUGAGUGCUAAGUGUUAGGGGGGUUUUCUGUCCCUUAGUGCUGUAGUUAACGUAUUAAGUAUUUUGUCUGGGGAGUACGGCCGCAAGGCUG
RNAcentral lists this ribosomal RNA (373 nucleotides) under uncultured organism. RNAcentral describes it as "partial 16S ribosomal RNA". It matches the Rfam family "Bacterial small subunit ribosomal RNA", at positions 527 to 896 of the family's 1533-position model. The record is from RNAcentral.